This 270-nucleotide ribosomal RNA is filed under the name uncultured archaeon. RNAcentral describes it as "partial 16S ribosomal RNA". It matches the Rfam family "Archaeal small subunit ribosomal RNA", at positions 477 to 747 of the family's 1478-position model. The record is from RNAcentral.
CAGCACCUCAAGUGGUCAGGAUGAUUAUUGGGCCUAAAGCAUCCGUAGCCGGCUCUGUAAGUUUUCGGUUAAAUCUGUAUGCUCAACAUACAGGCUGACGGGAAUACUGCAGCGCUAGGGAGUGGGAGAGGUAGACGGUACUCGGUAGGAAGGGGUAAAAUCCUUUGAUCUAUUGAUGACCACCUGUGGCGAAGGCGGUCUACCAGAACACGUCCGACGGUGAGGGAUGAAAGCUGGGGGAGCAAACCGGAUUAGAUACCCGAGUAGUCC